GAGUUUGAUCGUGGCUCAGAUUGAACGCUGGCGGCAUGCCUUACACAUGCAAGUCGAACGGCAGCACGGGAGCUUGCUCCUGGUGGCGAGUGGCGAACGGGUGAGUAAUGCAUCGGAACGUAUCCUGGAGUGGGGGAUAACGUAGCGAAAGUUACGCUAAUACCGCAUAUUCUGUGAGCAGGAAAGCGGGGGGACCUUCGGGCCUUGCGCUAUCAGAUGAGCCUAGGUCGGAUUAGCUAGUUGGUGGGGUAAUGGCUCACCAAGGCGACGAUCCGUAACUGGUCUGAGAGGAUGAUCAGUCACACUGGAACUGAGACACGGUCCAGACUCCUACGGGAGGCAGCAGUGGGAAUAUGGACAAUGGGCGAAAGCCUGAUCCAGCCAUGCCGCGUGUGUGAAGAAGGUCUUCGGAUUGUAAAGCACUUUAAGUUGGAGGAAGGGCAGUAAGUUAAUACCUUGCUG
This 462-nucleotide ribosomal RNA is filed under the name bacterium enrichment culture clone ALO1_GLFRUDD03F71KU. RNAcentral's name for it is "bacterial SSU rRNA". It matches the Rfam family "Bacterial small subunit ribosomal RNA", at positions 9 to 474 of the family's 1533-position model. The record is from RNAcentral.